GCUGGGGUAGCUCAGAUGGUUAGAGCGUGGGAUUCAUAACCCCAAGGUCGGGAGUUCGAUCCUCCCCCCCAGCACCA
Molecule: transfer RNA, 77 nt
Filed under: Chloroflexota bacterium
Lineage: Bacteria; Bacillati; Chloroflexota
Also listed under: 1 other name
Description: Chloroflexi bacterium (rhizosphere metagenome) tRNA-Met
Rfam family: tRNA
About the family: Transfer RNA (tRNA) molecules are approximately 80 nucleotides in length. Their secondary structure includes four short double-helical elements and three loops (D, anti-codon, and T loops).
Source: RNAcentral